RNAcentral lists this ribosomal RNA (497 nucleotides) under uncultured bacterium. RNAcentral's name for it is "partial 16S ribosomal RNA". It matches the Rfam family "Bacterial small subunit ribosomal RNA", at positions 28 to 507 of the family's 1533-position model. The record is from RNAcentral.
GAUGAACGCUGGCGGCGUGCCUAAUACAUGCAAGUCGAGCGAACAGACGAGGAGCUUGCUCCUCUGACGUUAGCGGCGGACGGGUGAGUAACACGUGGAUACCCUACCUAUAAGACUGGGAUAACUUCGGGAAACCGGAGAUAAUACCGGAUAAUAUAUUGAACCGCAUGGUUCAAUAGUGAAAGACGGUUUUGCUGUCACUUAUAGAUGGAUCCGCGCCGCAUUAGCUAGUUGGUAAGGUAACGGCUUACCAAGGCAACGAUGCGUAGCCGACCUGAGAGGGUGAUCGGCCACACGAGAGCUGAGACACGGUCCAUACUCCUACGGUAGGCAGCAGUAGGGAAUCGUCCGCAAUGGGCGAAAGCUUGACGGAGCAACGCCGCGUGAGUGAUGAAGGUCUUCGGAUCGUAAAACUCUGUUAUUAGGUAAGAACAAAUGUGUAAGUAACUAUGCACGUCUUGACGGUACCUAAUCAGAAAGCCACGGCUAACUACGUG